GUUACCAAGCCCUCUUGUCAUUCAGAAAACUUGUUUUGCAUUACUGGUAUUGAUGGUUUUAGUUUUAUACAUCGUACCUGAAAAAUGACUUCCUGUUUUCGGUUAUAGCUAAGUCACUGGCAUUUGUAAACAGACUUUCUCUCCGGAUUUUCGUUGAAAAUUAAUAAGGAAAGAACCCGAUUGGCCGAUGGGCAUCUACAAUCCGAAAUGAAGAUAAUUUCUAGUAAUUUUUCUCCGAGGAUACAAACUUUAUCAAAAUCGGAAUACUUAUUUCAGGAAAGAUCUGGGAAUGAAAUCAUCUUCUUCCAUGACUUGGAAUAUAGUUUGUUUCGUUUUGUUGAUUUUCUACCAAGCCAUACAAAUCGCACAGUCUUUUGGUUGCGCAACUUGUGCCUUUCCUGCUCUGAAUUUCUUUUGCUGUAUUUUGGUGGAGACGUGCUGUUGGAAAAAUAACGAGGAAGGAGAAUCUUAGAAAGAAUGCCGGACCCAAUGAGGAUGAUGAGAACGUAUAGAAGAAUAUACAACAUUUUCGUUUUAUUUAUACUUUUCGUAUCCUUAAUUUCCGGAGCCGAAAGUUUUGCUUGCGGAUCAUGCGGAAUCCCAAUUUUCUAUAACUUCUGUUGCACCCUUUUGCAGCGCUGCUGUGAUCAGGUUAACAAUGGUGGCUCUGCAGGUGGAUUCGGAUCUUCGGUGAUGUCUUCCAUGUAACAGAUAUUUUUGAUAACAGAUAUUUGCCUAAGUGGGGAACCAAAAAUGUGUAAAAUAAAAAUAUUUGAAGUCACGUAAUUCUGGAGUUCGGGAUUUAAUUACAAACUGAUUUCAUUUAUGAUGAAAAUGGAGUUCAAAUCAAAUAUUUUUAAAAUUUUGCUGAAAAUUCGAAUUUAUAAAACAAAAUCUUGAAAAGGUUUGAGGAGUAAUAAAACGAUUGUCGCGCCUCCUAUUUUACAAUUACCAUCGUAACACUGACUUAAUGAACGAAAACAAUAACAGACUCUCCGCUGCAAUACAAUAUAACAGACUCAAUAAAGUUUUCCGCAGACAUAAAAUAAAGCCUGUAGCGAAGCAUCUAGCUGUAACUCUUGUUUUGGAACCUUACUUAAAGUAAAUUUUAGUUUUAAAGAAGAAAAUUAUAAUAUAAGGGCCUUUUCAUGUGUAUAUCUGGAAAUAAAAUCUGGUUG
Long non-coding RNA from Stegodyphus dumicola, 1178 nucleotides. RefSeq lists it as uncharacterized. Lineage: Eukaryota; Metazoa; Arthropoda; Arachnida; Araneae; Eresidae. The record is from RefSeq and is a predicted model, not a curated record.